GUGGGGAUGGGGGAAACGAGGGCGGGGAGGAGGGUGAGAGGCAGGAGAGCAGCAGAGGGCCAAGGGGGAGGAGAGAAGAGGGGGACGGGGGAGGGCAAGAGGGCCGGGAAGGGGAGGAGGUGGAGGGGAGAAAAGCAGCGAGACCUGGCAGAAAGAGCACGGGCUAGGACUCAAAGGACCUGGGUUCUAAUCUAGCCUCUGCAGGCGCUGCUGCGUGACCUCGGGCAAGUCCCUUAACUUCCCUCAACUCGGGAAGCCGCGUGGCUUAGCGGCAAGAGCCCGGGCCAAGGAGUCAGAGGACCCGAGUUCUAAUCCCGACCCCGCCGCUUGCCAGCCGUGUGACCUCGGGCAAGCCGCUGAACUUCUCUGUCCCUCGGUGGCCUCAUCCGUAAAAUGGGGAUGAAAGGCUUGAGUCCCACCUGUGGGACAAGCUGAUCACCUUGCCUCCCUCCCGCCAGCGCUUGGCACCCAGGGAGGGCUUAACGGCUGCCACCAUCAUCAUUAGUCUGCGCUGGGCCUCAGUCUCCCCGUCCGGAAAAUGGGCAUUCGGGGGCUGAUUUCUCUCCCCCUUCGAGGGCGAGCCCCGUGCGGGGCAGGGACCGCGUCGGACCUGAUCACCUUUGUGUCUACCCCAGGGUUUAGCACGUAGGAAGCGGUUGCCAGAUACGGGGAGGACGCAUCAUCGUUAUUCUACAGGGGGAUAGGGGGAGGGGGGGAGGGGCUCGGGCCCGAGUGGGGGGGGGGGGGGUCUCCCUACUGGCCGCCCCCUCCCCGCAACCCGCUCCCUCCCCGCCCCCCGCGGACUCGGUUACCUCCUCGCGCUCUUUAAUCGUCUCCGCUCAACUCCUCAACUCCCCGCCCCCUUUCCCAGCGGCCGCCGCCCAUUGGCCGCCGCCCGCCGCCGGCCCCCGCUCCCUCCCGGCUAUUGGUCGAGGCGCCCGCCGAUCGGCGCCGCCGCCGGCCAAUGACGACGGGGGGGACGGUCCUCGGGGGACGCCCAUAAACAAGCCCGCACCCCCCGCUCUCCCCGCCGCCCCCCCCGCUCCUCCAUUGGUCAGCGCGGCGCCAAAUCCGCUAGGCCGCAAUCUCCUUGGAGGCGGGGGACGUCACUCUACCCCGUCCCGCUCUCUGAUUGGCCGAGCGCUCUCCCUAGCCCCGCCCCCUCCCCCCCGCCCAGACCGCGCCUUCACCCGCUCUGGAGAGGUCAGCCGCAACCCGUUGUUCAGUGAUCCGGCAGGUGGCCGAUCAUUGGCUGAGCGGCCUUGUCAGUCGGCGCGGCCUCCGGCGCCGAUUGGCGGCUACGGAAGACCGCCAGGGUCUCCAACAUGGGUGGAUAGGCCCCGCCCACAGCCCCCCAUGCCAGCCAAGAGCCAUAGGCCCACCUGUUCUCUACCUGCAAAUGAUACUCCCAGAAAUGAAGAAGACACCAGGGCCAUGGGGACCACGGGACGCCAAAUGCUUCAGACCAAACCUCAAUCCGGAAGUCUUCUCAAUUGACACUUCCCAUUUCCCUUUUUGAGAAAAGAAACCCAGAGGGUGUCACCUACUGGUGCAAUAUUAAAAUCACAUUUAAAUCUGUU
Molecule: long non-coding RNA, 1580 nt
Filed under: Ornithorhynchus anatinus (platypus)
Lineage: Eukaryota; Metazoa; Chordata; Mammalia; Monotremata; Ornithorhynchidae
Description: lncRNA (ENSOANG00000048683.1)
Source: RNAcentral